Molecule: transfer RNA, 85 nt
Filed under: Felis catus (domestic cat)
Lineage: Eukaryota; Metazoa; Chordata; Mammalia; Carnivora; Felidae
Rfam family: tRNA
About the family: Transfer RNA (tRNA) molecules are approximately 80 nucleotides in length.
Source: Rfam by way of RNAcentral
GCCCGGGUGGCUCAGUCGGUUGAGCAUCCAAUUUCGGCUCAGGUCAUGAUCUCGCAGUCUGUGAGUUCGAGCCCCACUUUGGGCU